GCAGAUGUAGAAAUGAUGACCCGCCUGCAAACGGCUGUCGUUCCGCCAUGAACGGACUCCGGAUGUCGGCAGCCUCCGUGCAGAUGGACUCCUGCUGUCCCCGGGUUGGAACGGUGGCGUGGAACGGGAAGAGGUCCUCCUCUCUCCUCACAGCCUGUGAUUCCAUCUCUAACUGUCCCUUCCUUCCGUCCACUUUCUCCACCCGACUCCCGGUUCCCGCUGGAAUCUCACCUGGACCACUGCAACUCGCCUCAGCUUCACCGCUGCCCACCGUCCCUUCUCUGCACGGAGGCCUCCAUUCAGGGAUGCCAUCCACCAUCUCCCAGGCCAGAUCGAACCAUCUAGAGGCUUUGAGAACUCCAAGGACCUCCCCUUGCUGUCCCACCUCUCAGUGGUCUGGGUGAGCAUUUGAUAAUG
Sciurus carolinensis (gray squirrel) is the source of this 417-nucleotide long non-coding RNA. RefSeq lists it as uncharacterized. The record is from RefSeq and is a predicted model, not a curated record. Lineage: Eukaryota; Metazoa; Chordata; Mammalia; Rodentia; Sciuridae. The transcript has 3 exons.